CUGUGAUGAAAACUGGUUUUAUUUUGCUCCUUUAAACUCCUGUUACCGGUUUUACUGUGACAGCACGACAUGGCAGAAAGCUCAGGCAUUUUGCAAUCAUCCCCCACAUUACGGACGGCUGGCUUCUGUGUGCUCGACGGCACACAACACAUUCAUUUCUAACGUGAUCGAUGCUGUGAACGGUAACAAGCCAACUGCAUGGAUUGGCCUGAAUGACAGAAGCAAGGAAGGGACUUUCACAUGGAUUGAUGGAACUUCGUAUAGUUACCGAAACUGGGCUUGGUAUCAACCUGACAAUUUUCGAGACGCCGAAGACUGUGUG
Molecule: long non-coding RNA, 322 nt
Organism: Pristis pectinata (smalltooth sawfish)
Lineage: Eukaryota; Metazoa; Chordata; Chondrichthyes; Rhinopristiformes; Pristidae
Exons: 3
Source: RefSeq, a predicted model, not a curated record